AGAGCUGUAGGUCAGUGGUAGACUGCUUGCUUCACAUGCAUGAGGCCCUGGGUUCAACGCCCCCAAUUCUG
RNAcentral lists this transfer RNA (71 nucleotides) under Neotoma lepida (desert woodrat). It matches the Rfam family "tRNA". Rfam says of the family: Transfer RNA (tRNA) molecules are approximately 80 nucleotides in length. Their secondary structure includes four short double-helical elements and three loops (D, anti-codon, and T loops). Further hydrogen bonds mediate the characteristic L-shaped molecular structure. tRNAs have two regions of fundamental functional importance: the anti-codon, which is responsible for specific mRNA codon recognition, and the 3' end, to which the tRNAs corresponding amino acid is attached (by aminoacyl-tRNA synthetases). tRNAs cope with the degeneracy of the genetic code in two manners: having more than one tRNA (with a specific anti-codon) for a particular amino acid; and 'wobble' base-pairing, i.e. permitting non-standard base-pairing at the 3rd anti-codon position. Lineage: Eukaryota; Metazoa; Chordata; Mammalia; Rodentia; Cricetidae. The record is from Rfam by way of RNAcentral.